GACGAACGCUGGCGGCGUGCCUAAUACAUGCAAGUUGAGCGCUGAAGGUUGGUACUUGUACCAACUGGAUGAGCAGCGAACGGGUGAGUAACGCGUGGGGAAUCUGCCUUUGAGCGGGGGACAACAUUUGGAAACGAAUGCUAAUACCGCAUAAAAACUUUAAACACAAGUUUUAAGUUUGAAAGAUGCAAUUGCAUCACUCAAAGAUGAUCCCGCGUUGUAUUAGCUAGUUGGUGAGGUAAAGGCUCAUCAAGGCGAUGAUUCAUAGCCGACCUGAGAGGGUGGACGGCCACAUUGGGACUGGGACCCGGCCCAAGGUGCUUCGGGAGGCGGCAGUAGGGAAUCUUCGGCCAUGGACGAAAGUUUUUCCGAGCAACGCCGCGUCAGUGAAGAAGGUUUUCGGCUCGUAAAACACGGUUGGUAGAGAAGAACGUUGGUGAGAGUGGAAAGCUCAUCAAGUGACGUUAACUGCUCAGAAAGGGACGGCUAACUACGUG
RNAcentral lists this ribosomal RNA (497 nucleotides) under uncultured bacterium. RNAcentral describes it as "partial 16S ribosomal RNA". It matches the Rfam family "Bacterial small subunit ribosomal RNA", at positions 28 to 507 of the family's 1533-position model. The record is from RNAcentral.